RNAcentral lists this ribosomal RNA (451 nucleotides) under uncultured bacterium. RNAcentral describes it as "partial 16S ribosomal RNA". It matches the Rfam family "Bacterial small subunit ribosomal RNA", at positions 29 to 523 of the family's 1533-position model. The record is from RNAcentral.
AGCGAACGCUGGCGGCAGGCUUAACACAUGCAAGUCGAACGCUCGUAGCAAUACGGGAGUGGCAGACGGGUGAGUAACGCGUGGGAAUAUGCCUUUUGGUUCGGAAUAACUCAGGGAAACUUGAGCUAAUACCGGACAAGCCCGUGAGGGGAAAGAUUUAUCGCCAAAAGAUUAGCCCGCGUCCGAUUAGCUAGUUGGUGAGGUAAUGGCUCACCAAGGCGACGAUCGGUAGCUGGUCUGAGAGGAUGAUCAGCCGCAUUGGGACUGAGACACGGCCCAAACUCCUACGGGAGGCAGCAGUGGGGAAUAUUGGACAAUGGGCGCAAGCCUGAUCCAGCCAUGCCGCGUGAGUGACGACGGCCUUCGGGUUGUAAAGCUCUGUCUUCGGGGACGAUAAUGACGGUACCCGAGGAGGAAGCCACGGCUAACUACGUGCCAGCCGCCGCGGUAA